UCGGGAAUUUUGGGCAAUGGGCGCAAGCCUGACCCAGCAACGCCGCGUGAAGGAUGAAAUCUUUCGGGAUGUAAACUUCACAAGAACGGGAAGAAUAAGUAAGUGUAAAUACCACUUAUGAUGACGGUACUGUUUGUAAGCUCCGGCUAACUCCGUGCCAGCAGCCGCGGUAAUACGGGGGGAGCAAGCGUUGUUCGGAUUUACUGGGCGUAAAGGGCGCGUAGGCGGCGCAACAAGUCACUUGUGAAAUCUUCAGGCUUAACCUGAAGCGGCCAAGUGAUACUGUCGUGCUAGAGUGCGGAAGGGGCAACUGGAAUUCUUGGUGUAGCGGUGAAAUGCGUAGAUAUCAAGAGGAACACCUGCGGCGAAGGCGGGUUGCUGGGCCGACACUGACGCUGAGGCGCGAAAGCUAGGGGAGCGAACGGGGAUUAGAUACCCCGGUAGUCCUAGCCUUAAACGAUGAAUGCUUGGUGUCCGAGGUUAGAUAGUCCUCGGGUGCCGUCGCUAACGCUUCAAGCAUUCC
This 523-nucleotide ribosomal RNA is filed under the name uncultured bacterium. RNAcentral's name for it is "bacterial SSU rRNA". It matches the Rfam family "Bacterial small subunit ribosomal RNA", at positions 355 to 870 of the family's 1533-position model. The record is from RNAcentral.